RNAcentral lists this long non-coding RNA (665 nucleotides) under Oryza brachyantha (malo sina). Its description in RNAcentral is "long non-coding RNA (OBRA_LNC001399)". The record is from RNAcentral. Lineage: Eukaryota; Viridiplantae; Streptophyta; Magnoliopsida; Poales; Poaceae.
GGGCUAACGGCGAGCAACGCCGUCAGCGUGAAAUGAUGCCGUUGCCCCCACCCCCAUCCCCACCCGUUUCGCGCGCGCAAGGCGGGAAAAAAGUGGCGGGAGACGCAUGAAGGCGGCCACCGAGCCAGCCAACCCAGGAAUAGUAGUAUUAUAUUAAUUUUAUUAUUAUUAUUAUUUCGUGGCAGUAAAAAAAACCAGCGGAGUUUGAACUCCUAGUGAAGUGAGGCAGAGCGGAGCAGCCGCAGCAGUAAAUGGUGGUGGCGUGGGGCCCAAGGCGGGUGGGCCGGCGCGCGCUUUGUGCGUGAGCUGCCUUGAAUGGCACGGCUCCCGCGUGGAAACGGAACAGUGUAGUUGCGUGGCAGAUAUUUAUUUUUUUCCCUUUUUUUUUUCUGUUUUUGUUCGGAGGGAGUAAAAAUUAAAUGGUGGUGGCGUUUGUCUCGUCUCUCACGUGCCGGUCAGACCGUGUCAGCGCUCAGCAACCGGCGGUGAAUGGGUGUGAUUAGUGGCUGCUGAUGUGGGUGCUUACAGCUGUUAAACUGCACUCUGGUCGUCCCCUCUCCUCCUGUGAUGACAGGUGACAGCGACCACGCCGGCGAUCUGUGGUCGGGGCUUGUUUGUUUAACGUGGUUGGUGAUUUUAAGCGAUGAAAAAAAAUGUUUUCCGGA